RNAcentral lists this ribosomal RNA (495 nucleotides) under uncultured bacterium. RNAcentral's name for it is "partial 16S ribosomal RNA". It matches the Rfam family "Bacterial small subunit ribosomal RNA", at positions 28 to 507 of the family's 1533-position model. The record is from RNAcentral.
GACGAACGCUGGCGGCGUGCCUAAUACAUGCAAGUAGAACGCUGAAGGAGGAGCUUGCUUCUCUGGAUGAGUUGCGAACGGGUGAGUAACGCGUAGGUAACCUGCCUGGUAGCGGGGGAUAACUAUUGGAAACGAUAGCUAAUACCGCAUAAGAGUAGAUGUCGCAUGACAUUUGCUUAAAAGGUGCAAUUGCAUCACUACCAGAUGGACCUGCGUUGUAUUAGCUAGUUGGUGAGGUAACGGCUCACCAAGGCAACGAUACAUAGCCGACCUGAGAGGGUGAUCGGCCACACUGGGACUGAGACACGGCCCAGACUCCUACGGGAGGCAGCAGUAGGGAAUCUUCGGCAAUGGACGGAAGUCUGACCGAGCAACGCCACGUGAGUGAAGAAGGUUUUCGGAUCGUAAAGCUCUGUUGUAAGAGAAGAACGAGUGUGAGAGUGGAAAGUUCACACUGUGACGGUAGCUUACCAGAAAGGGACGGCUAACUACGUG